AGAGUUUGAUCAUGGCUCAGGAUGAACGCCGGCGGUGUGCCUAAUACAUGCAAGUUGAGCGCAUUGGCCCAACUGAUAUGACGUGCUUGCACUGAAUUGACGUUGGAUUACCAGUGAGCGGCGGACGGGUGAGUAACACGUGGGCAACCUGCCCUGAAGCGGGGGAUAACAUCUGGAAACAGAUGCUAAUACCGCAUAACAACGAAAACCACAUGGUUUUCGUUUCAAAGAUGGUUUCGGCUAUCACUUAGGAUGGGCCCGCGGUGCAUUAGCUAGUUGGUAAGGUAACGGCUUACCAAGGCAAUGAUGCAUAGCCGAGUUGAGAGACUGAUCGGCCACAAUGGAACUGAGACACGGUCCAUACUCCUACGGGAGGCAGCAGUAGGGAAUCUUCCACAAUGGGCGCAAGCCUGAUGGGAGCAACACCGCGUGAGUGAAGAAGGGUUUCGGCUCGUAAAAGCUCUGUUUGUUGGAGAAGAACGUGCGUGAGAGUAACUGUUCACGCAGUGACGGUAUCCAACCAGAAAGUCACGGCUAACUACGUGCCAGCAGCCGCGGUAAUACGUAGGUGGCAAGCGUUAUCCGGAUUUAUUGGGCGUAAAGCGAGCGCAGGCGGUGGCUUAGGUCUGAUGUGAAAGCCUUCGGCUUAACCGAAGAAGGGCAUCGGAAACCGGGCGACUUGAGUGCAGAAGAGGACAGUGGAACUCCAUGUGUAGCGGUGGAAUGCGUAGAUAUAUGGAAGAACACCAGUGGCGAAGGCGGCUGUCUGGUCUGCAACUGACGCUGAGGCUCGAAAGCAUGGGUAGCGAACAGGAUUAGAUACCCUGGUAGUCCAUGCCGUAAACGAUGAGUGCUAGGUGUUGGAGGGUUUCCGCCCUUCAGUGCCGGAGCUAACGCAUUAAGCACUCCGCCUGGGGAGUACGACCGCAAGGUUGAAACUCAAAGGAAUUGACGGGGGCCCGCACAAG
Molecule: ribosomal RNA, 968 nt
Filed under: Limosilactobacillus vaginalis
Lineage: Bacteria; Bacillati; Bacillota; Bacilli; Lactobacillales; Lactobacillaceae
Description: bacterial SSU rRNA
Rfam family: Bacterial small subunit ribosomal RNA
Source: RNAcentral